This 384-nucleotide RNase P RNA is filed under the name Microcella alkalica. RNAcentral describes it as "Yonghaparkia alkaliphila RNase P class A". It matches the Rfam family "Bacterial RNase P class A". Rfam says of the family: Ribonuclease P (RNase P) is a ubiquitous endoribonuclease, found in archaea, bacteria and eukarya as well as chloroplasts and mitochondria. Its best characterised activity is the generation of mature 5'-ends of tRNAs by cleaving the 5'-leader elements of precursor-tRNAs. Cellular RNase Ps are ribonucleoproteins. The record is from RNAcentral. Lineage: Bacteria; Bacillati; Actinomycetota; Actinomycetes; Micrococcales; Microbacteriaceae.
UGGGUCGGCCAGACGGUCGCGUCGGAGACACGCCCCCUCGAGGGGGAACGGCUCCGCCGAGGAACGUCCGGGCUCCGCAGAGCAGGGCGGUGGGUAACACCCACCCGGAGCAAUCCGCGAGAAAGUGCAACAGAGAGCAGACCGCCACCGGCCUCGGCCGGGGGUAAGGGUGAAACGGUGGUGUAAGAGACCACCAGGGGCCCGAGUGAUCGGGCUCGCUGGGUAAACCUCGCCCGGAGCAAGGUCAGACAGACACCGUCGAGGCGGCUCGCUGAGGUGUCGGGUAGACCGCUAGAACGUGCCGGCAACGUCACGUCGAGAGAGAUGGCCGUCGAUCGGGCGCAAGCCCGGGAACAGAACCCGGCGUAUCGGCCGGCCCACUUG